This is a long non-coding RNA of Eucalyptus grandis, 373 nucleotides long. RefSeq lists it as uncharacterized. The transcript is spliced from 3 exons. NCBI's taxonomy places the organism in Eukaryota, Viridiplantae, Streptophyta, Magnoliopsida, Myrtales, Myrtaceae. The record is from RefSeq and is a predicted model, not a curated record.
UUUAGUGGUUUAUCAUUUAUAGAGAUUGGAGUAGCAACAUAAAUUUCUUGGAAGGAUUUUGUUACAUUUUACUAAUGAUAUUUUCUUAUAUAGGUGCAACCACCAUAUAUCAUGCGGCCUGCGAAUAUGGAUGGAUUUUCCCCAUUCGCAAGUCAGAUGCAAACACCAUACAUCAUGCCACAGGGGAUUAUAAAUAAAUUUUCUCCAUUCACUAAUCAGAUGUUGGAGUACCAUAAUAGAUCUCCUGGAAUCAAUUUGAGUCGGGUAUAAGUUGGCUCACUUCUUUUGAUAUGAGAUUAUUUGAGAUACUAUUUAUGCAGUCACAUUGUUUAGCAAACCAUGCCUUUUAUGAAUGUAUUAUUUUAACCUUUGU